RNAcentral lists this ribosomal RNA (446 nucleotides) under uncultured bacterium. RNAcentral's name for it is "partial 16S ribosomal RNA". It matches the Rfam family "Bacterial small subunit ribosomal RNA", at positions 338 to 795 of the family's 1533-position model. The record is from RNAcentral.
CCUACGGGAGGCAGCAGUCGAGAAUCAUUCACAAUGGGGGAAACCCUGAUGGUGCGACGCCGCGUGGGGGAAUGAAGGUCUUCGGAUUGUAAACCCCUGUCAUGUGGGAGCAAAUUAAAAAGAUAGUACCACAAGAGGAAGAGACGGCUAACUCUAUUCCAGCAGCCGCGGUAAUACAGAGGUCUCAAGCGUUGUUCGGAAUCACUGGGCGUAAAGCGUGCGUAGGCUGUUUCGUAAGUCGUGUGUGAAAGGCGCGGGCUCAACCCGCGGACGGCACAUGAGACUGCGAGACUAGAGUACUGGAGGGGGAAGCGGAAUUCUCGGUGUAGCAGUGAAAUGCGUAGAUAUCGAGAGGAACACCCGUGGCGAAGGCGGGUUCCUGGACAUUAACUGACGCUGAGGCACGAAGGCCAGGGGAGCGAAAGGGAUUAGAUACCCGAGUAGUC